RNAcentral lists this ribosomal RNA (1372 nucleotides) under Salmonella enterica. Its description in RNAcentral is "partial 23S ribosomal RNA". It matches the Rfam family "Bacterial large subunit ribosomal RNA", at positions 1589 to 2925 of the family's 2925-position model. RNAcentral also lists the same sequence under 3 other names. Lineage: Bacteria; Pseudomonadati; Pseudomonadota; Gammaproteobacteria; Enterobacterales; Enterobacteriaceae. The record is from RNAcentral.
AGCAACAAAUGCCCUGCUUCCAGGAAAAGCCUCUAAGCAUCAGGUAACAUCAAAUCGUACCCCAAACCGACACAGGUGGUCAGGUAGAGAAUACCAAGGCGCUUGAGAGAACUCGGGUGAAGGAACUAGGCAAAAUGGUGCCGUAACUUCGGGAGAAGGCACGCUGACACGUAGGUGAAGUGAUUUACUCAUGGAGCUGAAGUCAGUCGAAGAUACCAGCUGGCUGCAACUGUUUAUUAAAAACACAGCACUGUGCAAACACGAAAGUGGACGUAUACGGUGUGACGCCUGCCCGGUGCCGGAAGGUUAAUUGAUGGGGUCAGCGCAAGCGAAGCUCCUGAUCGAAGCCCCGGUAAACGGCGGCCGUAACUAUAACGGUCCUAAGGUAGCGAAAUUCCUUGUCGGGUAAGUUCCGACCUGCACGAAUGGCGUAAUGAUGGCCAGGCUGUCUCCACCCGAGACUCAGUGAAAUUGAACUCGCUGUGAAGAUGCAGUGUACCCGCGGCAAGACGGAAAGACCCCGUGAACCUUUACUAUAGCUUGACACUGAACAUUGAGCCUUGAUGUGUAGGAUAGGUGGGAGGCUUUGAAGUGUGGACGCCAGUCUGCAUGGAGCCGACCUUGAAAUACCACCCUUUAAUGUUUGAUGUUCUAACGUGGACCCGUGAUCCGGGUUGCGGACAGUGUCUGGUGGGUAGUUUGACUGGGGCGGUCUCCUCCUAAAGAGUAACGGAGGAGCACGAAGGUUGGCUAAUCCUGGUCGGACAUCAGGAGGUUAGUGCAAUGGCAUAAGCCAGCUUGACUGCGAGCGUGACGGCGCGAGCAGGUGCGAAAGCAGGUCAUAGUGAUCCGGUGGUUCUGAAUGGAAGGGCCAUCGCUCAACGGAUAAAAGGUACUCCGGGGAUAACAGGCUGAUACCGCCCAAGAGUUCAUAUCGACGGCGGUGUUUGGCACCUCGAUGUCGGCUCAUCACAUCCUGGGGCUGAAGUAGGUCCCAAGGGUAUGGCUGUUCGCCAUUUAAAGUGGUACGCGAGCUGGGUUUAGAACGUCGUGAGACAGUUCGGUCCCUAUCUGCCGUGGGCGCUGGAGAACUGAGGGGGGCUGCUCCUAGUACGAGAGGACCGGAGUGGACGCAUCACUGGUGUUCGGGUUGUCAUGCCAAUGGCACUGCCCGGUAGCUAAAUGCGGAAGAGAUAAGUGCUGAAAGCAUCUAAGCACGAAACUUGCCCCGAGAUGAGUUCUCCCUGAGACUUAGAGUCUCCUGAAGGAACGUUGAAGACGACGACGUUGAUAGGCCGGGUGUGUAAGCGCAGCGAUGCGUUGAGCUAACCGGUACUAAUGAACCGUGAGGCUUAACCUUACAACGCCGAAG